CAACUUUUAACAACGGAUCUCUUGGUUCUCGCAUCGAUGAAGAACGUAGCAAAGUGCGAUAACUAGUGUGAAUUGCAUAUUCAGUGAAUCAUCGAGUCUUUGAACGCAUCUUGCGGUCAAUGGUAUUCCAUUGACCACGCCUGUUUCAGUAUCAAAA
This 157-nucleotide ribosomal RNA is filed under the name Mucor mucedo. Its description in RNAcentral is "5.8S ribosomal RNA". It matches the Rfam family "5.8S ribosomal RNA". From Rfam's summary of the family: 5.8S ribosomal RNA (5.8S rRNA) is a component of the large subunit of the eukaryotic ribosome. It is transcribed by RNA polymerase I as part of the 45S precursor that also contains 18S and 28S rRNA. Lineage: Eukaryota; Fungi; Mucoromycota; Mucoromycetes; Mucorales; Mucoraceae. The record is from RNAcentral.